AAACGGACAAAGGAAGGACAUCGGUUUUCCCAUUAGCAAAAGAGGAAAGAAAAAGGGCUUAUAAGAAGAGGUCCACUCAUUCCUCUAUCACCCAACCAAAGCUGCUAGGGUUUCUCUCUUCUCUCUAUCGCUUCAGGUUCUUCUGGAAAGAUGUCUCGUGUUUAUGUUGGUAACUUGGAUUCAAGAGUGACUGAGAGAGACCUCGAAGACGAAUUCCGCGUUUUCGGAGUUAUUCGGAGUGUUUGGGUUGCACGGAGACCACCUGGUUAUGCUUUCAUUGACUUCGAUGACCGCAGAGAUGCACAGGAUGCUAUUCGAGAGUUAGAUGGGUUUUCCUCAACUACCUAUUUAAGUCUUCUUUUUGGGCAAGCAGAUGCUGCUCUCUAUCUGCAGUAAUGGUUUUUUCGUUAAGUCUUCUUCGUCAAAGUCUGCUGAUUUGUACAGUUUGACUACUACUACUACUACUACUGCAUGUAAAGAGAAUUAAGAGUGUGAACACAGAGGAUUUGCACUGCUUUGGAAUGUUAUCGCGACCUACACUUCUGUUGCAUAUUGGGUUUGUUUUGUGAGAUGUGUGCUACUACGAUUAAACUUUGGGCCAUGUGAGGCUGCCUGUGUGCUGUGUAUGUCCCUGUGAGCAACUUGUAUGCUCCAAUAAGUUGUUAUCGACCAGUGGUCAAAUGAACUUCUGAAAAUAUUAUGGCAAGAAUGGUUGGAGGGUUGAGCUUUCUCACAACUCCAGAGGUGGAGGUGGUGGUCGUGGUCGUUCUGGUGGCUCUGACUUGAAAUGCUAUGAGUGUGGUGAACCUGGUCAUUUUGCUCGUGAAUGUCGCUUGCGUGGUGGUUCAGGAAGACGCCGUAGCCGUAGUCCACCCCGAUUUCGUAGGAGCCCAAGUUAUGGGCGAAGGAGUUACAGUCCGCGCGGCCGGUCCCCAAGGCGUCGCAGUUUGUCACCUCGUGGACGCAGCUACAGCAGGUCACCUCCUUACCGUGGGCGUGAGGAGGUACCAUAUGCUAAUGGAAAUGGCCUUAGGGAACGUCGCCGAAGCAGAAGUUGAUUGUGAGAGUUGGUAACUGUGAUUGUUAAGAGAAUAGUGAGAUUUUGUUAAUCUAGUGGUGCUUGGACUGAAGUAUGAAUCUGUUUUGUUGGGCAAGGCCCUGAGUUUCUACACCUGGAUUAGCUACUUUCUUUAUGUCUUAGCUUGUGUUUCUUUUACUAUGUAGAAUACUUGUAGUUUCAUUGCAGGUAAUAGUCUUUUUAAGGUAGUUGUUACUAGUUUGUUAAAGAGUCUCCAGAUCUUUCUACAAUACAGUAUGUGCUUUUCUUCUUUAUUGAGGUUUCUUCUGUACUGCUUCAUUGGUUUUGUGCUUUUCCUUCACUAGGAUGUAUUUCCUGGCUGCCGUUCUCUGAGAUUUUCAAAAUGGUUGAGAGUUGGAGCUGACUACAUGCUCUUCAAUUUCAAUGACUCACUGCCGGUGACCGUGCAUCUCAAAUUUUAAUGAAUUUUUGUUAUUAACUAUUAAUUGUUGCGGGUCUGCAUCAAAUACUUCUUGCUGGUACUUACAUCAUUCACUAGUUGGGCUUUUCCAAGUCGUGUGAUAUUAAGUCUUGGUCCUAAAGAAUAAGGAAAGGGUUUUCGUAGUAGCUAAGUAAAAGGUUGAUUUGUGACUUUCAUAAUUCGUUUGUUUUCUAAGCGUUGAACAUGAUUGUCGCCCCCUGCCGUCAAUAAUUAUACAUCACGAACUGCAUAACCUUAUCAUGACUGGCCGUCUUUUGUUGGGAUUCAAAUCCUGUCUUCACUUAUUGUCUACCCGGAAUUGAACCCCAGUAGGAAAUAAGUUACAUAUCGUAGUUCAUUAUAUUUGCGGUGUUUUUAAUUGGGGAACAUAGGGGAUCGAGGAUUUGAGUUUUAUGGUGAGGUCUAUUCUAUAUAUAUCUCAAAGGUAGCACAGAAAUUGUAAAAUUUUCAUUUGUAACCUAUUUCCGUGAAAAAUCAUAGUAGCUGUUUAGCAUCUAGAAGAAUAACCGUCACAGAUGUUGAAAAUUUAUUUUAUCAGCGUUUAUUUGGUGUAAAUCUAUAACAUUAGCAUGAAUGUUUACGUAACCUGAUAUUUCCUG
This is an RNA transcript of Abrus precatorius (Indian licorice), 2119 nucleotides long. It is a transcript of the gene named serine/arginine-rich splicing factor RSZ22, with no coding region annotated. The record is from RefSeq and is a predicted model, not a curated record. The transcript has 7 exons. Lineage: Eukaryota; Viridiplantae; Streptophyta; Magnoliopsida; Fabales; Fabaceae.